GGCUUUUUGAUGAUAAUUUAAGGUCUGACCUGCCCAAUGAUGUAAUAUUAAAUGGCCGCGGUAUCUUGACCGUGCAAAGGUAGCAUAAUCAUUAGUUUUUUAAUUGAAAGCUUGUAUGAAAGGUUUAAUGAGAAAGGAGCUGUCUCUGCUGUAAUUUUUAAGAAAUUUAUUUUUAAGUUAAAAGGCUUAAAUGUGUAUCAAAGACGAGAAGACCCUGUAGAGUUUUAUAUUUUUAAAAGGUUAUUAAAUUUUAGGAUAUAUUUUAUUAAUUUUUUAAAAUUAUUUGGUUGGGGUGAUUGAAAAAUUGGUAAAACUUUUUUAUGUGGAUUUCAUUGAUUUAUGAAUUUUUGAUCCUUAUUUGAGAUUAAUAGAUAAAAUUACCUUAGGGAUAACAGCGUAAUUUUUUUUAGAGUUCUUAUCGAAAAAAAAGAUUGCGACCUCGAUGUUGGAUUAAAAUUAAUUAUUGGUGUAGAAGCUAAUAAGUUGGGUCUGUUCGACCUUUGAAUUUUUACAUGAUCUGAGUUUAAACCGGUGUGAG
RNAcentral lists this ribosomal RNA (538 nucleotides) under Echinodera setosagracilis. RNAcentral describes it as "partial 16S ribosomal RNA". It matches the Rfam family "Bacterial large subunit ribosomal RNA", at positions 1819 to 2625 of the family's 2925-position model. The record is from RNAcentral. Lineage: Eukaryota; Metazoa; Arthropoda; Insecta; Coleoptera; Curculionidae.